RNAcentral lists this non-coding RNA (225 nucleotides) under Streptomyces turgidiscabies Car8. RNAcentral's name for it is "Streptomyces sRNA 4677". It matches the Rfam family "Streptomyces sRNA 4677". Rfam says of the family: Located in the intergenic region between anti-sigma factor SCO4677 gene and a putative regulatory protein gene SCO4676. scr4677 expression requires the SCO4677 activity and scr4677 sRNA itself seem to affect the levels of the SCO4676-associated transcripts. The record is from Rfam by way of RNAcentral. Lineage: Bacteria; Bacillati; Actinomycetota; Actinomycetes; Kitasatosporales; Streptomycetaceae.
GGGUCCGGCGGGCCACUGACCUCCUGAAAGAACCGGGGGAAAGUACUACCCGCCCACCCUCCCUCCCCGGUCGCGAAGCACGCGUUCACCCGUCCGAGUGACCGGCUUGCAGGCGCGGGAUGCGGGCGGUUACGUUCGCCGCGACAACCACAGACAAAUGCGGCCCCCGGCCGGGAUUCCCGUCCCGAUCGAGGGCCUGACCGAUCAGGAAGCGAUACCUUCCCA